CGGAAGGGGGAGUUGUCGGCCUUAUUCUCAAUGAAGCUGUCGGAAAGGAAACGUCGAAGCAUCUUUAUUGAUAUCCCUCCUUUUCAGAGAAAACCGCUACGAGCUACAGAGCCAAACUAGGCCGGACCGAGUGGCUGCUUCUUUUCACGUCCACUGCUGCUGGAAGCUGUUUCCACAUGGCACACAAGUGUGAAAUUGAGAAACAAUGUGUGUGUGUGUGCGUGUGCGUGUGUGUGCAUGUGGCUAUGUGUCAAAACAGUGAUGAUGGUGAGCAGUACAGAUCUGUAUUAAGCUGAAAAAGGAAAAAGCACAUCAUUAACUGGUGGGCCAGCUGCCAUCGCUGCAUUACCGGCUCUUCAAUCUCAAGGUGUGGUCACAAGCCAAGGGCAAAAGUUCUCUGGUGUCCCCUCUGAGCGUGUGAAUGAUGGACCCCUCCCGCCCAGGCCGGGAUUAGCAGUGGCUUGGUGGAGGGCACAGAGCCGAUACAUUGCAGCUUUUUCAUCUCACGGCAGGGUGAAAGAGGGAUGCAGGGGGGAUUUAGAGUCAACAAUUCACCUCACCUGUAUGUCUGUGGUCUGUGGGAGGAAGCCGGAGUACUUGGAGAGAACAUGCAAACUCCACACAGAAGGGCCUCAUCUUGCUGGUGGGUUUGAACCCAGAACCCUCUUGUUGUGAGGCGACAGUGCUAACCACUGCAACACUGUGCCGCCCAUAAAAGUCCUGCAAUAAAACAGUUACUUAAAGAAACAUACUGACACACACUGUGGAAUAAAUACAGUGAUGACGCAUGCCAUCACAUGCCUCAUAAACCCUGAUGUUACCACUCCAAUAUUACCAUAGGCCGUAGGCAAACGAGAGAGACCGCCAUAGAGACCAGAAGGAAGAGAGAGAGGUGCACAUGGGUGAGCUGUGAUGAUGAAUUGAUUGAUGAAUGCAAAUGAAGAUGAAUGCAUGUGGCAAAUACAGAUAACAAGAGGAAUAUGAAGAGUACAGCGGCUGGUUCACCUUUUCCCCGUAGCAGAAAAUAUGAAUAGCUGAUGUGUAUCUGGCCUAUUAAUACCACAGCAGCGACAGUGAACACACCACUGAACCAGAUAUGGAUACCUUAUCACAAAUCAUGUGGCCCAGGAACAACGGGCACUAGUCCGUCUAUACCAUCUGAAGCCUAAUCGCCUCACAUCCUAACCUUUAUUGCCAUAUGAACAGAGUCCCAAAACUGGCUGUACAUCAGUGUACAUGUAGAGUAAGUAGCAGCAGUUUAUUUUCUUAGUUGUUUGUCCCCAGUGCAACUUCAUGCUCAUUCCAUCACAAAACAUGCUGGCUGGAAACAACCGGGUGGAAACCACGGUAUGUACAGUAUGUGUGUGUGCACGCCUUUGUUUGUGUUUGUGCUAGAACUGAAACGAUUAGCGAGUCAUUUAAUUUGUUGAUAAUUACUUGAAAACUAUUUUGAUAGUCAAUUAAUCAUUUCAUUUUUCAAGAUAAAAAUUCCAAAACAUUUGCUGGUUUUGGACUGUUGGUCAGACAAAACUAGCAAUACAUCACACUGAGAUUUAGGAUAUUGUGAUAGAUAUUUUUCACUAUUUUCUGACAUUUUAUAGUAUAAAUGAUUGGUUAUUCAUGAAAAUAAUCAAUAGAUUAAUCAUUAAUGAGAAUAAUUGUUAGUUGCAGCCAUAAUUUGUGCCCCCGUGUGAGCAAAGUGAAGCCUACAUGUUUGCAUUUGUUGUGUGUGUAACUUUUCUGUGUCAGUGGAUUAAAGGGUCACUUCUAUGUGUGUUAUUUAUCCACAUAGGAAUCAGAACUCAGCUUUUAUGUUGGGAGUUUUUUUUUAUUUAUUUAUUUUUAACUAUUUUCUACUAAAGGAAAACUGUGACAACUGUUGACAGCUUGUUCUCCAGAUAAUCAAGAGUAAUGAGGACACUGAUUGUGGAGUGAGAUGUUGCUGUUGAAUUUUUUAAAGUUGAAUUUUUCAGUGCUGUGAGAACCACAAAAAAAGAUUAGACUCCAUUGUAUUAGGCAGAAAACAAAACUAUCUGCAUGGCCAUAGAGGCAAGUGAGAAAAUCUGUUUUGUUUGUUUGUUUUUUCAUGUGUGUGUAUGUGUAAUUUUGGUGAACUGA
Thunnus maccoyii (southern bluefin tuna) is the source of this 2118-nucleotide long non-coding RNA. RefSeq lists it as uncharacterized. The record is from RefSeq and is a predicted model, not a curated record. Lineage: Eukaryota; Metazoa; Chordata; Actinopteri; Scombriformes; Scombridae. The transcript is spliced from 5 exons.